UAAAGAAGGGACUUGAAUUUUAG
Molecule: non-coding RNA, 23 nt
Filed under: Cricetulus griseus (Chinese hamster)
Lineage: Eukaryota; Metazoa; Chordata; Mammalia; Rodentia; Cricetidae
Source: RNAcentral